UACGAGAGGCCCAAACGUUAUUCGGAAUUACUGGGCUUAAAGAGUCCGUAGGCGGCGCAGAAAGUAGGGUGUGAAAGCCCUCGGCUUAACCGAGGAAUUGCGCUCUAAACUACUGUGCUUGAGGAACCUAGAGGUGAGCGGAACUGAUGGUGGAGCGGUGAAAUGCGUUGAUAUCAUCAGGAACACCGGAGGCGAAGGCGGCUCACUGGGGGGUUAUCUGACGCUGAGGGACGAAAGCCAGGGGAGCGAACGGG
This 254-nucleotide ribosomal RNA is filed under the name uncultured bacterium. Its description in RNAcentral is "partial 16S ribosomal RNA". It matches the Rfam family "Bacterial small subunit ribosomal RNA", at positions 524 to 776 of the family's 1533-position model. The record is from RNAcentral.